UGGCGGACGGGUGAGUAACGCGUGGAUAACCUGCCGUAUACAGGGGGAUAACACUUAGAAAUAGGUGCUAAUACCGCAUAAGCGCACGGUUCCGCAUGGAACAGUGUGAAAAACUCCGGUGGUAUACGAUGGAUCCGCGUCUGAUUAGCCAGUUGGCGGGGUAACGGCCCACCAAAGCGAUGAUCAGUAGCCGGCCUGAGAGGGUGAACGGCCACAUUGGGACUGAGACACGGCCCAAACUCCUACGGAAGGCAGCAG
This 258-nucleotide ribosomal RNA is filed under the name uncultured bacterium. RNAcentral describes it as "partial 16S ribosomal RNA". It matches the Rfam family "Bacterial small subunit ribosomal RNA", at positions 96 to 354 of the family's 1533-position model. The record is from RNAcentral.